This 489-nucleotide ribosomal RNA is filed under the name uncultured bacterium. RNAcentral describes it as "bacterial SSU rRNA". It matches the Rfam family "Bacterial small subunit ribosomal RNA", at positions 8 to 518 of the family's 1533-position model. The record is from RNAcentral.
AGAGUUGAUCAUGGCUCAGGACGAACGCUGGCGGCGUGCUUCAUACAUGCAAGUCGAACGAGAAGUCACCUUCGGGUGAUGGAAAGUGGCGGACGGGUGAGUAAUGUGUAGAGAAUCUGCCCUUUAGUGGGGGACAACAGUUGGAAACGACUGCUAAUACCCCAUAUGCGCGUAGCUGAGAUGCUAUUCGUGAAAACUCCGGUGCUAAAGGAUGAGUCUGCAUCUGAUUAGCUAGUUGGCGGUGUAAUGGACCACCAAGGCGACGAUCAGUAGCUGGUUUGAGAGGAUGAUCAGCCACAAUGGGACUGAGACACGGCCCAUACUCCUACGGGAGGCAGCAGUAGGGAAUUUUGCGCAAUGGGGGAAACCCUGACGCCAGCAACGCCGCGUGAUUGAAUAAGCCCUUCGGGGUGUAAAGAUCUGUCAGUAGGGACGAAACUUGACGGUACCUACAGAGGAAGCAUCGGCUAACUCCGUGCCAGCCGCCGC